GACGAACGCUGGCGGCGUGCUUAACACAUGCAAGUCGAACGGUGAAGGGACUGGUUUUGCUGGUCCUGGAUGAGUGGCGAACGGGUGAGUAACACGUGAGUAACCUGCCCCCUUCUUCUGGAUAACCGCAUGAAAGUGUGGCUAAUACGGGAUAUUCUGGGUCUGUCGCAUGGUGGGCCUGGGAAAGAUUGCGCCUUUUUUGGUGUUUUUGGUGGGGGAUGGGCUCGCGGCCUAUCAGCUUGUUGGUGGGGUGAUGGCCUACCAAGGCGGUGACGGGUAGCCGGCCUGAGAGGGUGGACGGUCACACUGGGACUGAGACACGGCCCAGACUACUACGGGAGGCAGCAGUGGGGAAUAUUGCACAAUGGGCGCAAGCCUGAUGCAGCGACGCCGCGUGAGGGAUGGAGGCCUUCGGGUUGUGAACCUCUUUCGCCAGUGAAGCAGGCCUGCCUCUUUUUGUGGGUGGGUUGACGGUAGCUGGAUAAGAAGCGCCGGCUAACUACGUG
RNAcentral lists this ribosomal RNA (506 nucleotides) under uncultured bacterium. Its description in RNAcentral is "partial 16S ribosomal RNA". It matches the Rfam family "Bacterial small subunit ribosomal RNA", at positions 28 to 507 of the family's 1533-position model. The record is from RNAcentral.